RNAcentral lists this transfer RNA (87 nucleotides) under Magnetococcales bacterium. RNAcentral's name for it is "tRNA-Leu". It matches the Rfam family "tRNA". Rfam says of the family: Transfer RNA (tRNA) molecules are approximately 80 nucleotides in length. Their secondary structure includes four short double-helical elements and three loops (D, anti-codon, and T loops). Lineage: Bacteria; Pseudomonadati; Pseudomonadota; Magnetococcia; Magnetococcales. The record is from RNAcentral.
GCCGAAGUGGUGGAACUGGUAUACACGACGGAUUCAAAAUCCGUUGCUCUCACGGGCAUGUGGGUUCGACUCCCACCUUCGGCACCA